This is a non-coding RNA of Gossypium hirsutum (cotton), 107 nucleotides long. Lineage: Eukaryota; Viridiplantae; Streptophyta; Magnoliopsida; Malvales; Malvaceae. The record is from Rfam.
AAACCGUGGUGUAGGCAUUUUUGAAUUAGCAUUUUAAAAUGCUCACAUGCAUCACAAAAACUUUCCCCCUCUAACUGUUUUAACAUCAAAAUUUCCCUUCUUAGUUG